RNAcentral lists this transfer RNA (67 nucleotides) under Affinundibacterium amnicola. RNAcentral describes it as "tRNA-OTHER". It matches the Rfam family "tRNA". From Rfam's summary of the family: Transfer RNA (tRNA) molecules are approximately 80 nucleotides in length. Their secondary structure includes four short double-helical elements and three loops (D, anti-codon, and T loops). The record is from RNAcentral. Lineage: Bacteria; Pseudomonadati; Pseudomonadota; Betaproteobacteria; Burkholderiales; Oxalobacteraceae.
GUUCCUUUAGCUUAGACGGGUAGAGAGCGUAGCGGGGUCGUCGGUUCGAUUCCGGCAAGGAACACCA